RNAcentral lists this ribosomal RNA (450 nucleotides) under uncultured archaeon. RNAcentral's name for it is "bacterial SSU rRNA". It matches the Rfam family "Archaeal small subunit ribosomal RNA", at positions 24 to 447 of the family's 1478-position model. The record is from RNAcentral.
CCCGACUGCUAUCGGAUUGAGAUUUAGCCAUGCGAGUCGAACGUCCCCCUGUUGCGGGGGGCGUGGCGUACGGCUCAGUAACACGUAGUCAACCUGCCCUGGAGACAUGGACAACCCCGGGAAACUGGGAUUAAUCCGUGAUAGGCCACCUCAUCUGGAAGGAGAGAUGGCUCAAAGGGGCGCGCGAGCUUCUUUCGUGCGUUUGCUCCAGGAUGGGACUGCGUCCGAUCAGUCUGUUGGCGGGGUAAUGGCCCACCAAACCUGUAACCGGUACGGGCCUUGAGAGAGGGGGCCCGGAGAUGGACACUGAGAGAAGGGUCCAGGUCCUACGGGGCGCAGCAGGCGCGAAACCUUCGCAAUGCGCGAAAGCGCGACGAGGUUAAUCCGAGUGAUACCCCGCUGAGGGGAUCUUUUGUCAGCUGUAAAUUGUCAGGCGCAUACACGGGGAGG